GACGAACGCUGGCGGCGUGCUUAACACAUGCAAGUCGAGCGGUAAGGCCCCUUCGGGGGUACACGAGCGGCGAACGGGUGAGUAACACGUGAGCAAUCUGCCCAUCACAUCGGGAUAACUCCGGGAAACCGAAGCUAAUACCGAAUACGACCACCUCCGGCAUCGGAUGGUGGUGGAAAGUUCCGGCGGUGAUGGAUGAGCUCGCGGCCUAUCAGCUUGUUGGUGGGGUAACGGCCCACCAAGGCUUCGACGGGUAGCCGGCCUGGGAGGGUGACCGGCCACACUGGGACUGAGACACGGCCCAGACUCCUACGGGAGGCAGCAGUGGGGAAUAUUGGACAAUGGGCGAAAGCCUGAUCCAGCAACGCCGCGUGAGGGAUGACGGCCUUCGGGUUGUAAACCUCUUUCAGCAGGGACGAAGCGCAAGUGACGGUACCUGCAGAAGAAGCACCGGCCAACUACGUG
Molecule: ribosomal RNA, 465 nt
Filed under: uncultured bacterium
Lineage: Bacteria
Description: partial 16S ribosomal RNA
Rfam family: Bacterial small subunit ribosomal RNA
Source: RNAcentral